Molecule: ribosomal RNA, 479 nt
Filed under: uncultured bacterium
Lineage: Bacteria
Description: partial 16S ribosomal RNA
Rfam family: Bacterial small subunit ribosomal RNA
Source: RNAcentral
AUGAACGCUAGCGGCAGGCCUAACCCCUGCAAGUCGCGGGGUAGAAGGAGCUUGCUCCUUUGAGACCGGCGCACGGGUGCGUAACGCGUAUGCAAUCUACCUUGUACAGGGGAAUAGCCCAGAGAAAUUUGGAUUAAUGCCCCAUAGUAUAUAACCUUCGCAUGUUGGUUAUAUUAAAGUUCCAACGGUACAAGAUGAGCAUGCGUCCCAUUAGUUAGUUGGUAAGGUAACGGCUUACCAAGACGAUGAUGGGUAGGGGUCCUGAGAGGGAGAUCCCCCACACUGGUACUGAGACACGGACCAGACUCCUACGGGAGGCAGCAGUGAGGAAGAUUGGUCAAUGGUCGCAAGACUGAACCAGCCAUGCCGCGUGCAGGAAGACGGUCCUAUGGAUUGUAAACUGCUUUUAUACAGGAAGAAACCCUCCCACGUGUGGGAGCUUGACGGUACUGUAGGAAUAAGAAUCGGCUAACUCCGUG